Molecule: transfer RNA, 85 nt
Filed under: Triticum aestivum (bread wheat)
Lineage: Eukaryota; Viridiplantae; Streptophyta; Magnoliopsida; Poales; Poaceae
Rfam family: tRNA
About the family: Transfer RNA (tRNA) molecules are approximately 80 nucleotides in length. Their secondary structure includes four short double-helical elements and three loops (D, anti-codon, and T loops). Further hydrogen bonds mediate the characteristic L-shaped molecular structure. tRNAs have two regions of fundamental functional importance: the anti-codon, which is responsible for specific mRNA codon recognition, and the 3' end, to which the tRNAs corresponding amino acid is attached (by aminoacyl-tRNA synthetases). tRNAs cope with the degeneracy of the genetic code in two manners: having more than one tRNA (with a specific anti-codon) for a particular amino acid; and 'wobble' base-pairing, i.e. permitting non-standard base-pairing at the 3rd anti-codon position.
Source: Rfam by way of RNAcentral
GGGGUGGUGGCGCAGUUGGCUAGCGUGUCAUAGCUGAAACUUGUGACCAAUCCUGAGGUCGAGAGUUCGAGCCUCUCUCACCCCA